GGUGCGAAUUAUAAAAUAUAAAGAAAUAACAAAUCAUAAACUGGGAUCAAAGUAGACAUGCGUGUAAAGGGGAAGGAUCAGCAGCAUAAAUAUUCCCUUCAAAGCACAAAGCACGGGUCCCAUCCCUCUCAAACGACACCAUUUUAUUUGCUAUUUAAAAAACUAAGGGGGCCAAACAAGACAGAAAAGAAAAAAUUGAAUGCUAGUCUGCCAUUUUUAAAAGAAACCAUAGCCCUUUUAUUUUUCUUUGUUGGGAUUUGAUGACCAAUAAUCAAGCUACUGCCGGACCACCACCAUUGCCGGUCACCGCAUAUAGUGACCGAAGUUUAAAAAGAUAAGUUCUUUUUGUCUUUUUUAUCCUCUUUAAUAGAUGAACGAACAACAAAAUGGUUAGUUUCGAAAACACAAAGGGAAAAAAAUGAAAAAAGAAGAAACAAACAACAACCUUGGUGGUUUUCGGUUUGCCAGAUCUGUUUUGCUUUCAAUCGAUGGUGUAGGCUUUCUGUUUGUCUGAUUGGUGGUUAUUUCCCUAUAUUCGAAUGCUUGUAUUUGGUAAAAUUCUUGCUCUUUGAUUUUUAGAUGCCACUAUUUGUAUCAAAUCUGCGUUUUUAUUGAAUAAUACAAAAAAAAAAAACAUUGUUACACUCUCAUGGCUUUAUAGCCUAAAUUCUAAUUGUUUUUGCCUCUUUUUACUGCAGGUUAAGGCGAAACGUGGAAAUGGAGGCAUGGGGGCAGAGAAUGUGGGUAGUGGAAGCAUGGAGGCAGUUGGAGGCUAGGGUUUUGGCUGAAAAUGUUUUGGGGUUUGUGGGCUAGGGUUAGGGUUAAGUAUUUGGGCUUCAAAAUUGGGUCUGUUUUUAUUUUUUGUUUUUUUGUUGUUGAAUUCUAUUUUGGACUUGGUUUUGUGCUUUAUGUAAUUUGCGCUGGGCAAAAAUUGGGUUUUACACAAAUGAUAUUAUUUUUUUUUUAUGUUUUUAAUAAAUAAGGCAACGUGCCGAUUUCAACACUAAGUCACUGAUUUCAUCGCUAUGUUGGGUGGAUAUUAUUGGCUCGUGUUAAAAAUGAGACGUCCUUCUAAAAGACCAAAAAUUUCAAAUUCACGUAUUUUAAUCGGAUAGCAAUUAAAUAUUAAAUUAAACUUGUAUUUUUGAGAAUUAAGACAACGCGUGUUUAACAAGAUACCAAUUUUGGGCGUCACGAGGGUGCUAAUACUUUUCUCGUGCGUAACCGACUCCCAAACCCUAUUUUUUUCUAGAUUUUCGUGUAGACCCAAAUUCGGCUUUCAUUUUUGUUCAAUAAUAAAUUUUCUUUUCUAAAAAAGAAGAUUUAUUAGGUGUCCGAUCACACCUAGAAAAAAGAUCGGUGGCGACUCAUUUUCUCUUUAAAACUGAAAUUUCAUUUUUAAAUUUUCAAAUAAUUAACGACCAAAGCGAAAUUUUUACGUCGCUACAAAGUAUACAUAUUUUUUGUUAUUAUAUAUUUUUUUAAAAAUUAGUAUAAACAUUUUU
This 1505-nucleotide long non-coding RNA is filed under the name Gossypium barbadense (sea-island cotton). Its description in RNAcentral is "long non-coding RNA (GBAR_LNC023549)". Lineage: Eukaryota; Viridiplantae; Streptophyta; Magnoliopsida; Malvales; Malvaceae. The record is from RNAcentral.